CGCGUAGGCGGUUCUUUAAGUUAGGAGUGAAAGUCCAGCUUUUAAGGUUGGAAUUGCUUUUAAUACUGGAGGGCUUGAGUGCAGAAGAGGUAAGUGGAAUUCCCAGUGUAGCGGUGAAAUGCGUAGAGAUUGGGAAGAACACCAGUGGCGAAGGCGACUUACUGGGCUGUAACUGACGCUGAGGCGCGAAAGCGUGGGGAGCGAACAG
This 208-nucleotide ribosomal RNA is filed under the name uncultured bacterium. RNAcentral's name for it is "partial 16S ribosomal RNA". It matches the Rfam family "Bacterial small subunit ribosomal RNA", at positions 568 to 775 of the family's 1533-position model. The record is from RNAcentral.